UCCCUAGUGGUUCAGACGGUAAAGCAUCUGCCUGCAAUGCUGGAGACCUGGGUUCGAUCCCUGGGUUGGGAA
Molecule: transfer RNA, 72 nt
Filed under: Bos taurus (domestic cattle)
Lineage: Eukaryota; Metazoa; Chordata; Mammalia; Artiodactyla; Bovidae
Also listed under: 5 other names
Rfam family: tRNA
About the family: Transfer RNA (tRNA) molecules are approximately 80 nucleotides in length. Their secondary structure includes four short double-helical elements and three loops (D, anti-codon, and T loops).
Source: Rfam by way of RNAcentral